GAAAUGCGAUAAGUAAUGUGAAUUGCAGAAUUCCGUGAAUCAUCGAAUCUUUGAACGCACAUUGCGCCCUCUGGUAUUCCGGGGGGCAUGCCUGUCCGAGCGUCAUUGCACACCCUCAAGCGCGGCUUGUGUGUUGGGCCUUCGCGUCCCCCCGUCUCCGGGGGGGGACGGGCCCCAAAGGCAGUGGCGGCGUCGCGGUUAUCCGAUCAGCCAGAGCGUAUGGGGACCUCUGUUCACACGUUCUCGGUGCGGACCGACGCCGGCCUGGUCACCAAUCUCCUUCCACGGUUGACCUCGGAUCAGGUAGGGAUACCCGCUGAACUUAA
This 326-nucleotide unclassified non-coding RNA is filed under the name uncultured Onygenales. RNAcentral's name for it is "sequence contains ITS1". The stretch from base 1 to 105 matches the Rfam family "5.8S ribosomal RNA", at positions 50 to 154 of the family's 154-position model. The record is from RNAcentral. Lineage: Eukaryota; Fungi; Ascomycota; Eurotiomycetes; Onygenales.